Molecule: RNase P RNA, 411 nt
Filed under: Rhodobacterales bacterium
Lineage: Bacteria; Pseudomonadati; Pseudomonadota; Alphaproteobacteria; Rhodobacterales
Description: RNase P RNA component class A
Rfam family: Bacterial RNase P class A
About the family: Ribonuclease P (RNase P) is a ubiquitous endoribonuclease, found in archaea, bacteria and eukarya as well as chloroplasts and mitochondria. Its best characterised activity is the generation of mature 5'-ends of tRNAs by cleaving the 5'-leader elements of precursor-tRNAs.
Source: RNAcentral
GCGGAGGGCUGGAUGGCCGCGGGGGUGACCCCGAGGAAAGUCCGGACUCCCGUUGGCAAGGGUGCCGGGUAACGCCCGGCGGGGGCAACCCCAGGGAAAGCGCCACAGAGAAGAGACUGCCUUGCCACGAACGAAGGUUCGCCUUCGCUAGGGCAGGGCGAUGGUGAAACGGUGGGGUAAGAGCCCACCGCGGACUUGGCGACAAGGACGGCACGGCAAGCCCCACCCGGAGCAAUGCCAAAUAGGGGCCUCGCGCGGGGCAGGUCGGGUGACCGAUACCGCCGCAGGGACGCCAACGCCCGAGAGGCCCGGGUUGGCAGCUUGACCGCCGUGGCAACACGGUUGGCAGAGGAAUGGUCAUCCAUGGUCGCAAGACCGGGACAGAAUCCGGCUUACAGGCUCUCCGCGCAA